AAACCAUGCAUCGGGCAUUUUCUAAUUAAUUCCUUGAAUCAUUCCCAAGCUUUAUACAAUGUCUCAUCCUUAGAUUACCAAAAAUAUGUAAUAUCAUUCUUCAAUUU
Non-coding RNA from Gossypium hirsutum (cotton), 107 nucleotides. NCBI's taxonomy places the organism in Eukaryota, Viridiplantae, Streptophyta, Magnoliopsida, Malvales, Malvaceae. The record is from Rfam.